RNAcentral lists this ribosomal RNA (497 nucleotides) under uncultured bacterium. RNAcentral's name for it is "partial 16S ribosomal RNA". It matches the Rfam family "Bacterial small subunit ribosomal RNA", at positions 28 to 507 of the family's 1533-position model. The record is from RNAcentral.
GAUGAACGCUGGCGGCGUGCCUAAUACAUGCAAGUCGAGCGAACGGACGAGAAGCUUGCUUCUCUGAUGUUAGCGUCGGACGGGUGAGUAACACGUGGAUAACCUACCUAUAAGACUGGGAUAACUUCGGGAAACCGGAGCUAAUACCGGAUGAUAUUUUGAACCGCAUGGUUCAAAAGUGAAAGACGGUCUUGCUGUCACUUAUAGAUGGAUCCGCGCUGCAUUAGCUAGUUGGUAAGGUAACGGCUUACCAAGGCAACGAUGCAUAGCCGACCUGAGAGGGUGAUCGGCCACACUGGAACUGAGACACGGUCCAGACUCCUACGGGAGGCAGCAGUAGGGAAUCUUCCGCAAUGGGCGAAAGCCUGACGGAGCAACGCCGCGUGAGUGAUGAAGGUCUUCGGAUCGUAAAACUCUGUUAUUAGGGAAGAACAUAUGUGUAAGUAACUGUGCACGUCUUGACGGUACCUAAUCAGAAAGCCACGGCUAACUACGUG